This 455-nucleotide long non-coding RNA is filed under the name Physcomitrium patens. RNAcentral describes it as "long non-coding RNA (PPAT_LNC013195)". The record is from RNAcentral. Lineage: Eukaryota; Viridiplantae; Streptophyta; Bryopsida; Funariales; Funariaceae.
GUGGCCAUUAUUAAAAAGAGAGGGCUAAGUCAAUGAAAGUGGAGGGGGGGGAGUUAGUGGAGCUUGCCAAAGCAUGUAUGUUUCAUAGAAUAGAAUAGAAUAAUGGGAUUUGUCAAUGCCAUGCACAUGGAAGGCUACCAAAGAAGGAAGUGGCUCCAUCUCUUGUCCACUCUCCCACUCCCACCUUUCUAUCUAUACUCUCUCUCUUGGGGCACUCAAACCAAACCAAGCCAAAAAAUUAAAAUUAAAUUAAAAUAAAACCCCUCUUCCAAUGCAUUAUUCAUCCAUCCAUCCAUCCAUCCACUCUUCCCUUUUCAUCCAUUGGCUUACAAUUCGGAGACCAAAGCAUCCGCCAUAUGUCCAACCAACUACAUUCUCCAAGACGCGGGAAUGAAUGAGAAGAGGUGCUUUCCUCCAUGACUCCCGCACCACUACCACUCCUUUGUUGCCCCCCC